GGAAGGGAGCCAGAGGCCCCAGGCGGCCCCAGAGGAAGCUAGCUUUCCCAGGUGAGUGCCUGGUGCACCCCUGCCCCAUCCCUGGGGGCCUAUCCACAGCUCACUGCUGACUCUUCCUUCACCCAGGGACCAAGAAGCCACGCAUUUCCCCAAGGUCUCCACCAAGAGCCUCUCCAAGAAAUGGUAAGUCCCACAGGCAUGGGGACAGUGGGGCAGCCCUGCAGCCUGGGCCCCAGGGAGGGAGUGGGGAAGGGAGGGUGGCAGCGCAGAAGCAGAGCUCGCUGAGGCCUCUCUGUGCCCCCGUGAGGGCCAUGCAGGCCGCACUCCCCACGCACUCCACUCCCGGGGAUGCUCACGGUGACAGUCCCUCUACCCGCCCCCAGCCUGCUUCUGAGCCCACCUGUGGCGGAGCGUGCCAUCCUGCCCGCACUGAAGCAGACCCCGAAGAACAACUUUGCCGAGAGGCAGAAGAGGCUGCAGGCAAUGCAGAAACGGCGCCUGCAUCGCUCAGUGCUUUGAGCUACCCGCAUCUGGUCAGUGCCAGGCCCACCAACCUGCAGCUGGAGACUGGCUCUCUAUAGCAUUUCCUGAUACUUCCACUACUUUUAGGCCUGGCUAAAUUCCAAGAUAGAUAACACUCAAGAUAG
This 647-nucleotide small RNA is filed under the name Pan troglodytes (chimpanzee). RNAcentral describes it as "retained intron". Lineage: Eukaryota; Metazoa; Chordata; Mammalia; Primates; Hominidae. The record is from RNAcentral.